UACGAAGGGGGCUAGCGUUGUUCGGAAUUACUGGGCGCAAAGCGCACGUAGGCGGAAUGUUAAGUCAGGGGUGAAAUCCCGGGGCUCAACCCCGGAACUGCCUUUGAUACUGGCAUUCUCGAGUCCGGAAGAGGUGAGUGGAAUUCCGAGUGUAGAGGUGAAAUUCGUAGAUAUUCGGAGGAACACCAGUGGCGAAGGCGGCUCACUGGUCCGGUACUGACGCUGAGGUGCGAAAGCGUGGGGAGCAAACAGG
This 253-nucleotide ribosomal RNA is filed under the name uncultured bacterium. Its description in RNAcentral is "partial 16S ribosomal RNA". It matches the Rfam family "Bacterial small subunit ribosomal RNA", at positions 524 to 776 of the family's 1533-position model. The record is from RNAcentral.